AAGAAAGGGGGGGCACCAAGAAGGCAGAGUCAGGCCAGUGUUGUUUCCAGGGAGACGGGGGCGGAUGACCGUUGCGAUGAGUAAAUGAGAAGUUCGUGAAGGGAACUUUUUUGCAUAGAGAAAACCCACACUCCGGUUCUGGGAAAAGGGUCACGAUUCCUUCCCUUGUGUCCCUGUAUUUCCGCUUUCUGCUCAUUGCCACAGUGAAACUCAACUGGAACUGCACAGCCAGACGUGAGAGGAGUCUCUGCUGAUCUGAGUCUGCCCUGCAGCCUGAAUUUGCAUCUUCCCUGAAGCUUCCCCAGGACUGGUGAGAAGACUGGCCGAGGUAGGUUCCCCACAAGGGUGUGUUUACGGGUGAGCCGAAGGAGAGAGCGGGACCCCACGGAGAGGCUCUGAGAGGAAGGAAGAACCGUCUGUUGCCUUCACCUCGAAGGGACCAACUCAGGAAGGCACCACGUCCAUUUGCAGCUACAUCCUGGCCCUCAGUGAGAUGAGGACCGGUCGGGCAGACAGCGAAAGGAGAUCAGGAGAGAUGCCAUGUGUGUCUGAAAUAUCGGCAGAAAGCCAGGUGCCUGUCUCAAAGGAUGGUUCAAGAUACGUGACUCACGACCUAAACGAAGAACGAAAACCAUAUGAUCAUCUCAAUAGAGGCAGAUAAAGCCUUCAAAAAACUCCAAGCCCUGGGAAAACAAGAGCCGGGCUCGUGGCGGGGUCCGGGACAGUUCACCACCCGUGGAGAUGCUGGUGGGAAAAUGCAGUUAAAGCUUUGGAUAGAACACCCAGUGUCUCCUUGUCCACCUGAAGAACAUGCUGCUAUGUGGAAGCACAUCCUUGAGAUCCACAAGGAGACACUGGGCAAGGAGACAAGGAUGCCUCAUUCUAUGGAAGUCUCCCUAAUAAAUGCUCUGUGAACA
This is a long non-coding RNA of Cercocebus atys (sooty mangabey), 917 nucleotides long. RefSeq lists it as uncharacterized. The record is from RefSeq and is a predicted model, not a curated record. Lineage: Eukaryota; Metazoa; Chordata; Mammalia; Primates; Cercopithecidae. The transcript has 2 exons.